GCGAGAGUGGCGGAACUGGCAGACGCGCUGGACUUAGGAUCCAGUGGCCGAAAGGCCGUGGGGGUUCGACUCCCCCCUUUCGCA
Molecule: transfer RNA, 84 nt
Filed under: Vicinamibacteria bacterium
Lineage: Bacteria; Pseudomonadati; Acidobacteriota; Vicinamibacteria
Also listed under: 1 other name
Description: tRNA-Leu
Rfam family: tRNA
About the family: Transfer RNA (tRNA) molecules are approximately 80 nucleotides in length.
Source: RNAcentral